AGUAGUUUGAUCAGUGGCUCGAGGACGAACGCUGGCGGCGUGCUUCAUACAUGCAAGUCGAACGAGAAGCUGACUUCGGUCAGUGGAAAGUGGCGGACGGGUGAGUAAAAUGUAGAGAAUCUGCCCCAGAGCGGGGGACAACGGUUGGAAACGACCGCUAAUACCCCAUAUGAGCGUAGUUGAGAUACUAUUCUUGAAAACUCCGGUGCUCUGGGAUGAGUCUGCAUCUGAUUAGCUAGUUGGGGGUGUAAUGGACCACCAAGGCGAUGAUCAGUAGCUGGUUUGAGAGGAUGAUCAGCCACAAUGGGACUGAGACACGGCCCAUACUCC
This 330-nucleotide ribosomal RNA is filed under the name uncultured cyanobacterium. Its description in RNAcentral is "bacterial SSU rRNA". It matches the Rfam family "Bacterial small subunit ribosomal RNA", at positions 9 to 339 of the family's 1533-position model. The record is from RNAcentral. Lineage: Bacteria; Bacillati; Cyanobacteriota.